This 253-nucleotide ribosomal RNA is filed under the name uncultured bacterium. Its description in RNAcentral is "partial 16S ribosomal RNA". It matches the Rfam family "Bacterial small subunit ribosomal RNA", at positions 524 to 776 of the family's 1533-position model. The record is from RNAcentral.
UACAGAGGGUGCAAGCGUUAAUCGGAAUUACUGGGCGUAAAGCGCGCGUAGGUGGUUGUGUAAGUUGGAUGUGAAAGCCCCGGGCUUAACCUGGGAAUGGCAUGGGAAACUGGCGGGCUGGAGUGUGGCAGAGGGGGGUGGAAUUCCGCGUGUAGCAGUGAAAUGCGUAGAGAUGCGGAGGAACACCGAUGGCGAAGGCAGCCCCCUGGGCUAACACUGACGCUCAGGCACGAAAGCGUGGGGAGCAAACAGG